RNAcentral lists this ribosomal RNA (305 nucleotides) under uncultured bacterium. RNAcentral's name for it is "bacterial SSU rRNA". It matches the Rfam family "Bacterial small subunit ribosomal RNA", at positions 335 to 637 of the family's 1533-position model. The record is from RNAcentral.
GGCCCUACGGGGGGCAGCAGUGAGGAAUAUUGGUAAAUGGGCGAGAGCCUGAACCAGCCAAGUCGCGUGAAGGAUGACGGCCCUAUGGGUUGUAAACUUCUUUUGUCAGGGAGCAAUUGGGUCCACGUGUGGGCUUAGCGAGAGUACCUGAAGAAAAAGCAUCGGCUAACUCCGAGCCAGCAGCCGCGGUAAUACGGAGGAUGCGAGCGUUAUCCGGAUUUAUUGGGUUUAAAGGGUGCGUAGGCGGAAUAUCAAGUCAGCGGUAAAAAUUCGGGGCUCAACGCGGUCGUGCCGUUGAAACUGAG